This 880-nucleotide ribosomal RNA is filed under the name Methanosaeta sp. enrichment culture clone AA20. RNAcentral describes it as "bacterial SSU rRNA". It matches the Rfam family "Archaeal small subunit ribosomal RNA", at positions 1 to 887 of the family's 1478-position model. The record is from RNAcentral. Lineage: Archaea; Methanobacteriati; Methanobacteriota; Methanomicrobia; Methanotrichales; Methanotrichaceae.
UUCCGGUUGAUCCUGCCGGAGGUUACUGCUAUCGAGGUUCGACUAAGCCAUGCGAGUCGAAUGUAGCAAUACAUGGCGAACUGCUCAGUAACACGUGGACAACCUGCCCUUAGGACGGGGAUAAACCCGGGAAACUGGGUAUAAUACCCGAUAGGUCUCGAUUGCUGGAAUGCAUCGAGAUUUAAAGCUCCGGCGCCUAAGGAUGGGUCUGCGGCCUAUCAGGUAGUAGUGGGUGUAGCGUACCUACUAGCCUACGACGGGUACGGGUUGUGAGAGCAAGAGCCCGGAGAUGGAUUCUGAGACACGAAUCCAGGCCCUACGGGGUGCAGCAGGCGCGAAAACUUUACAAUGCUGGCAACAGCGAUAAGGGAACCUCGAGUGCCAGGUUACAAAUCUGGCUGUCGAGAUGCCUAAAAAGCAUUUCAUAGCAAGGGCCGGGCAAGACCGGUGCCAGCCGCCGCGGUAACACCGGCGGCUCGAGUGGUAACCGUUAUUAUUGGGUCUAAAGGGUCCGUAGCCGGCCGGAUAAGUCUCUUGAGAAAUCUGGCAGCUUAACUGUCAGGCUUUCAGGAGAUACUGUCUGGCUCGAGGCCGGGAGAGGUGAGAGGUACUUCAGGGGUAGGGGUGAAAUCUUGUAAUCCUUGAAGGACCACCAGUGGCGAAGGCGUCUCACCAGAACGGACCUGACGGCAAGGGACGAAAGCUAGGGGCACGAACCGGAUUAGAUACCCGGGUAGUCCUAGCCGUAAACGAUACUCGCUAGGUGUCGGCCACGGUGCGACCGUUGUCGGUGCCGUAGGGAAGCCGUGAAGCGAGCCACCUGGGAAGUACGGCCGCAAGGCUGAAACUUAAAGGAAUUGGCGGGGGAGCACCACAACGG